UCAAGUCAAGAUUUAAUUGUACUACUAUAAACACCCUGCCUCAGGGCCUUUGCUUUGUUGGCGCCUUGGUCUUAAAUACUCUCUUCCCAGAAGUCAGCAUGAUUCAUGAGCCCAACCUUUAAGUCCUCUGCUCAAAUUACACCUUCUCAAUGAAGCUUAACGUGUCCACCCUUUUGAAAACCACAACUCAUCUCCUCUACCCUACCCUCACAUUCCCAACCCCUCUUACUCUGCUCUGGGAAAUAAAGAGCAGAG
Molecule: long non-coding RNA, 255 nt
Organism: Lontra canadensis (Northern American river otter)
Lineage: Eukaryota; Metazoa; Chordata; Mammalia; Carnivora; Mustelidae
Exons: 3
Source: RefSeq, a predicted model, not a curated record